GUAGGUGGCAAGCGUUGUCCGGAAUUAUUGGGCGUAAAGCGCGCGCAGGCGGUUUUUAAGCUGAUGUGAAAGCCCACGGGCUCAACCGUGGAGGGUCAUUGGAAACUGGAGAACUUGAGUACAGAAGAGGAAAGCGGAAUUCCACGUGUAGCGGUGAAAUGCGUAGAGAUGUGGAGGAACACCAGUGGCGAAGGCGGCUUUCUGGUCUGUAACUGACGCUGAGGCGCGAAAGCGUGGGGAGCAAACAGGAUUAGAUACCCUGGUAGUCCACGCCGUAAACGAUGAGUGCUAAGUGUUAGGGGGUUUCCGCCCCUUAGUGCUGCAGCUAACGCAUUAAGCACUCCGCCUGGGGAGUACGGCCGCAAAGGCUG
RNAcentral lists this ribosomal RNA (371 nucleotides) under uncultured organism. Its description in RNAcentral is "partial 16S ribosomal RNA". It matches the Rfam family "Bacterial small subunit ribosomal RNA", at positions 527 to 896 of the family's 1533-position model. The record is from RNAcentral.